Molecule: non-coding RNA, 2904 nt
Organism: Carica papaya (papaya)
Lineage: Eukaryota; Viridiplantae; Streptophyta; Magnoliopsida; Brassicales; Caricaceae
Source: RefSeq, a predicted model, not a curated record
UAACUUUAACCACCAGAAGAGAAAGGAGGAGAGAGUGGGAUGUCAGAGAAAGGAGGAAGGGAGCGCUACGCUGCCGUGCUGGAGAAGAAAAUGGAUGCCUGGUAAUCGUUUUCUUCAUCCUUUCUCUGUCAUCUAUAUUAUUUUAGCUUGUUUAAUCUCUAAAUGCUUAUUGUGUGGAGGUUAACCGAGAAUGAAUCCAACCUUUGAAUCACCAUGAAGCCUGACCAUUUCUCCAUUCAGAGAGGAACCCCAUGGAAGUUGGACUCUUGUGAAAUAAUUACCUGCGAGUCCACUGCAGUACGAGGUCGUGCUCAUGCAACACAAUGGACGUGCACACACAGGCGUAUACCCGUGUGUACAAAAUGCGCGCAAGAAGAGGGAGAAUCCUUUUCCCACAGGGAUUCCCGCAUUUCUCAGGCCAAAUAAGCAAAUUGUUCCAACAUCGUUUUGUUUCUUAAAUGGGAUCGAUUUAAACAAGAAAGUAAAAUUUAAUUUCCUAAACAGAAAUGCCCAAAAUAGGAAAGAUUAUUCCAAGGAAUGGGCCAUGUUUGUCCAACAGAAGCUUAAGGACCAAGUGAGAUUAAUGGGCAUGAAGAAUUGUAAGGAAGUCCAAGUGCUAGCCUAAUCUUAGAGAGGAGCAAGACUUGAUCCAAGUCAAAGAAGCCCAUUGGGCAUGCCCAUGAAGGUCCACAUGUGCUGGGUGAGCAGCCUGCGACUUAGCCAUCCCGCUUGCGCUUGCACACCGCAAGGAUGUGCAGCCCGUGAGCAUGUGCGGAGAUGCCCAAGCGCAUGCCUAGGAUGAAAUUGUGCACGCAAGAGGAGAUGUUGUGAGCCACGAGCACGCGACCCUCAAUCUGUGCACCUGCGACCCAUGACUCGCGUGGCCAUUGCUAGCUACCCACACGGGCAGCUUCAAAUUAAGGCCUUUUAGACUUCUUCUCUUUUUUUCCAAGUCUCCAAGGAUUUAAGUCCUCCAAAAAUUAUCUAUGUGAUUUAAAUGCCAAAAUUGGAAGAGAAAUUCCACUUAAAAUUGAAGUACAAGAAAAAUUAAGGUAUUUAAAGAUUUAGAUAAAGAGAGAAAAAUAUUUAAGAUCUAAUUAGACUAUCUUAAUAUUUAUUUUUAUUAUUUUAGAUUAUCUUAGGAUAAGAUUCAUUUAUUUAAUUAUUUAUGUAUUUAUUCUCUAAUUAUAUUUUAGAUCCUAAAAUUUGGAUAGGAAUCCUAAAUCCUAUUCCAAGUAGAAAUAGAAAAUAAAAGCCUAUAUAAAGGCUUAAGUUCAAGUUUUGUAAUCACAAUUCAAUUUAUCAAUAAAAUUAAAGUUUUGAGCCUUCUUCUAGAUUUAACUUUUGCUAAUUUUAGCAUCUUCAAGUUCUUUUAAGAUAGGGAGCUUUUUGAAAUCUGGUUGAGUCGAGAAGUUGGGAUCAAUUUAUCGAGUAAGCUACCACGUGUUUCUUUUCCUUGUUUUAAAUUUUCUAGUUUUUUGUUUUUGCAUGCCAUAUAAAUAGUUGUAGAUUAAAAUAGAGGGAGAGGUUAAUUAGGCAAUUAAGUUUCUGAAUUGCAUGCACUGAGUUGUGGUUUCAGGAAUUAAAACGAUCAUUCCCACACCCUCUCACGAAAAAAAUAGAUAAAAUAUGUUAAAGAAAAACAAUGAAAUAGAAAUUAGUACUUUAAGAAUAAUAAUAAAUUACUUGGUCAAAAGAAUUAAGAUUAGGAGUAAAUUGAAUAAAAGAAUUUAUGUGUAAAAUUAAAAUAAAAUGAGAAGAAACUAGUAUCCAAGAAAUUAUGUAAUUAAUCAAAUAAAUAAACCUAGAAAAUUAAAUUGGAUGAAUGUUUUAAUAACUAGAAUAGUCAUAGCAACGAGAUGUGCAUGCAAUAGGAUUGCAUGAAACUCUUGGGUUCAUCGCUGACCCAAGAAGUCUUAAUUACUGUGUAAAUUUUCUACUAAUUUUGGGGUGAUGUUUGGAGCUCAAAUCAGAAUCCUUUUACUCAAAAGUCUAUAAGUAUAAUUAGUAAUCAACCCAAAUCAUUCAUAUCAUUAUUUUUAAAAUGUUUCAUUAAAAUUUUAUGAAAUGAUAUGCAUGCAAACAAGUGAAGAUAAGGUUAUUUGAAAAACUAGCUCUGGAUACUACCCAAACAGCUGAAACUGCUCGGAUAGGUUUAAAAGUUGUCUUUUUUAGAGAGACAAAAAGAGGUAAAUUAGGAAUUUUAAUUACUAUGUUCAUCAUUGAUUUCUAAUAAAAGAAAAAGAAUUUACAUCUUUAAAUGACUAUAUGUUGUAUACUGAAUGUUUACGAUGUAGUUUACUUUUUAUACUUACUGAACACGUGGAAAGCUCAUCCAAAUAUAUCAUUAACUUAUUCAGAUAAAAUAGAUCUAGAGGGAGAAUCGGAUCAAUGAUAAUUAGUAGUUGUAUCCAAGGUAGAAUUUAAUAUUCUUUAUUGAACUGGUAAUAUUAUAUAGUUUUGACCCUAUAUUUUAGACCUCACUUCAUUGUAAAUAUUAUUACAAUAUGUUCAAGGGACGAAUAUUUUAAUCAUUAAUAUAUUAUAUGUGCGUUGUUAUUGGUUAAUUCCUUGAAUUAGUCAGUAGUUGUUAACUGUAAUCUCUUGGUGGGGGAAUAGGGGUGUCACACUAAAUUUUUCUGAAUACUAUUUUUCUUACAACAUACACAAUUUUGACUGAAAAUUCUGUAUAGUGUUAUAGUAAAUUACUUCUCGAGUUAUAAUAGCCACUUAAGACAAUAUUCUUUAGUUAUAUAGAGGUAAUUCUUCGAAUCAUGUCUGUUGACACAUAGAUAAAUAUUUUCAUGAAGUAUUUUACUUUUAUAUUUCCUCUAAUAUAUAAAUCUCAUUUUAAAAAUAAUUCUAAGAAUUAUUUUUCACAAAUCUACUCUCUUUAAAAAUAAU